CGGGAUCGCUCCCGUCAAGGAAUGUGGCUUCAAUUCAGUAAGCCGAACCUGGAG
Molecule: non-coding RNA, 54 nt
Filed under: unclassified sequences
Description: eL15-Euryarchaeota ribosomal protein leader
Rfam family: eL15-Euryarchaeota ribosomal protein leader
Source: RNAcentral